CCUACGGGAGGCAGCAGUGAGGAAUAUUGGUCAAUGGACGAGAGUCUGAACCAGCCAAGUAGCGUGAAGGAUGACUGCCCUAUGGGUUGUAAACUUCUUUUAUAUGGGAAUAAAAUGUUCCACGUGUGGGAUUUUGUAUGUACCAUAUGAAUAAGGAUCGGCUAACUUCGUGCCAGCAGCCGCGGUAAUACGGAGGAUCCGAGCGUUAUCCGGAUUUAUUGGGUUUAAAGGGAGCGUAGGUGGAUUGUUAAGUCAGUUGUGAAAGUUUGCGGCUCAACCGUAAAAUUGCAGUUGAAACUGGCAGGCUUGAGUACAGUAGAGGUGGGCGGAAUUCGUGGUGUAGCGGUGAAAUGCUUAGAGAUCACGAAGAACUCCGAUUGCGAAGGCAGCUCACUGGACUGCAACUGACACUGAGGCUCGAAAGUGUGGGUAUCAAACAGGAUUAGAUACCCCAGUAGUC
RNAcentral lists this ribosomal RNA (460 nucleotides) under uncultured bacterium. RNAcentral describes it as "partial 16S ribosomal RNA". It matches the Rfam family "Bacterial small subunit ribosomal RNA", at positions 338 to 795 of the family's 1533-position model. The record is from RNAcentral.